Long non-coding RNA from Sycon ciliatum, 637 nucleotides. RefSeq lists it as uncharacterized. The record is from RefSeq and is a predicted model, not a curated record. Lineage: Eukaryota; Metazoa; Porifera; Calcarea; Leucosolenida; Sycettidae. The transcript has 3 exons.
CUUCGAUACGCAUAACAACGAUCCCACUGGGGACAAACAAAAGUAGCGUCGUCUCCACCGACCCAGUUGUCAGUGGCAACAUAUAGGAAUCGUGUACAUUUCUUCGUUUCUUCUUUGCUGUUUUCAGUGAGUGUUUUGUUUUCUCUUUGUCCUUGAUCUCGACGAUGUUGUCGUGCUCAUUACCUUACUGAGACGUCUCUUGUGACUGUAGCAAGUGUCAUGGAGGAUUUUAUUGGCGUGACAAGGUAGAUCGCCGAGAUCGAGCGUGAAAAACGCUCUGCAUUAGUAGCUCCUGUAGAAUGUUUUCUGGGUUGGCGUAUCCAUGGUCAACAAAACCAAGGUGCAAGACAGCAUGAGAGAUCGUGUAAACGAUGUGAACUCCAAAAGAUAAUCUGGCCAAAUUUAUUGUAACUAGAGAGUGCAAUCGUGCACUGCUUGGGGCCCAUCCCAAUGUCAUCACAUGGCUGUGGUGACUAGUGUAUAUCUGGGAGAAUUUUUCCUCGACUGAUACGGAGUGCAGGUGGAUCGAUUAUGAGAAAUGCGAACAUGUGAAGUUCAAGGCUAGACGAACUUCACAUUCGGCGUGCGAUCUCAGCGUCUGGGACCUGAUGAAGUCUUGGUUGGAUGAUUAUUCAAG